This is a long non-coding RNA of Mirounga angustirostris (Northern elephant seal), 657 nucleotides long. RefSeq lists it as uncharacterized. The record is from RefSeq and is a predicted model, not a curated record. NCBI's taxonomy places the organism in Eukaryota, Metazoa, Chordata, Mammalia, Carnivora, Phocidae. The transcript has 3 exons.
GAAAGCUAUAGUUCCCAACAACCUUGCUUUUAAAUAGGAUUGUGUGACUGGUUCUGGCCAAUGAAAUAUAGAGAGAGAUUAUGUGUAUCACUCCUGUGUUAAGUCCAAGAAACACUCCUAUGUAACUCUUCACUUCCUUCUUUCCCAACUUACAGGGUAGCCACAUGUUGAGGUGACAGAACUACAAAAUGAAAACAAUUCAUAUUGCUGAGCCUGCUGUAAAGAGGAAGCUGCCAUGAAGAGGUGGGAACAAAUUAUUAGUGAACUGUGACUGAACUUCAUUUCUAAAUAUCGCAUAAUUAAAUAUGGAGCUAUUUAAAGGUGAAGCUUGGCACGGUUUAUCUGUGAGCAGAGGAACAGAACAGGCUUGUUUGCACUGCAUCAUCAGUCGACCUCAACUGUGAAUUUCUAGUCAGCAAAUGGGCGCUUCAUUUGGUGCAUCUGAGCAGAGGAAGACAAGAGCUGCUCUAAAAAGGAUCACGUUGCCAUCUGAUCUACAGCUCCAUUGAUGACAAAUCACCAACAAAUUUCCUACCUUCUGUGGAAGUCCACCUUAAGGUCGGCUACAAGUCUGGUGUGCCGGAUCGUUUGCAAACCCCACUUCGGCAACCGAGAAAGGGCGGGGCUGCGUCCUGAGACAUCUGUGGACCAGAGGAG